CGGUGGAGCAUGUGGUUUAAUUCGAAGCAACGCGCAGAACCUUACCAACCCUUGACAUGCCUUGACCGCCACAGAGAUGUGGUUUUCCUUUCGGGGACAGGGACACGGGUGCUGCAUGGCUGUCGUCAGCUCGUGUCGUGAGAUGUUGGGUUAAGUCCCGCAACGAGCGCAACCCCCACUGUUAGUUGCCAGCAUUUAGUUGGGCACUCUAGCAGAACUGCCGGUGACAAGCCGGAGGAAGGCGGGGAUGACGUCAAGUCCUCAUGGGCUUACGGGCUUGGGCUACACACGUGCUACAAUAGUGGUGACAGUGGGCAGCGACCACGCGAGUGGAAGCGAGUCACUACAAAAGCCAUCUCAGUUCGGAUUGCACUCUGCAACUCGGGUGCAUGAAGUUGGAAUCGCUAGUAAUCGCGGAUCAGCACGCCGCGGUGAAUACGUUCCCGGGCCUUGUACACACCGCCCGUCACACCAUGGGAGUUGGCUUUACCUGAAGCCGGUGCGCUAACCGCAAGGAGGCAACCGACCACGGUACGGUCAGCGACUGGGGUGAAGUCGUAACAAGGUAACCGU
RNAcentral lists this ribosomal RNA (573 nucleotides) under uncultured bacterium. Its description in RNAcentral is "bacterial SSU rRNA". It matches the Rfam family "Bacterial small subunit ribosomal RNA", at positions 930 to 1503 of the family's 1533-position model. The record is from RNAcentral.